Molecule: ribosomal RNA, 669 nt
Filed under: Triticum aestivum (bread wheat)
Lineage: Eukaryota; Viridiplantae; Streptophyta; Magnoliopsida; Poales; Poaceae
Description: partial small subunit ribosomal RNA
Source: RNAcentral
AUGAUCCGAGUUGUUGUUACCUUCUGGGCGAUAUGGUUGGCGCAGAGGAAAUUGAUCCAUGAAGGAGAGCACCAAAGCCCUUUGGCGACCUUUUCUUUCAUCAAUAGGUAUCUCUCUGAUCUAGCUUUGGCUCAACCAUCACAGGUGUUAUCACAUGCUCGCCAGCCGCAGGAACAGGCAAGGAAAUGGAUCCUGCCCCCGCAUGGAUAUGUGAAGAUUAAUGUGGAUGGUGUAGUGUGUAGAAGCCCACCUAUUGGUGCAGUCAGCGCUGUAUGCCGGGAUGGACAAUGUGUGUACAUGGGUUCUUCGGCUGUGGUUUUUCACGGGCUGACCGACCCACACAUUUUGGAAACUUUGGCGUGUCGUGAGGCGCUAUCAUUAGGGAGGGACUUGCUACUCCAAAACAUCACAGCGGCCUCGGACUGUCUCUCCGCCAUCAAUGACAUCAACUCAGGAACUCAUGGUAUCACUGGCCCAAUCGUCAGAGAAAUAAAGGACGGUUGUGGUGAUUUUCAGGCUAUCUCUUUUGCUCAUGAAGAACGUCACUUCAAUACGGAGGCGCAUAGUUUAGAUAGACAUGCUUUGCAUUUGGGUGAAGGGCGCCAUGUUUGGCUUCUACAACCCUUUGAUACUCUAUUUAUUCCUGUAAACCGUUCCAUUGAUCAAUAA